CAACCUAAGGGACGGGCGCCUAGUUGUAGUGGUGGCGUAGACGAAGAGACGGAGGGAGAAAUGGGCUGCGGUUAGAGGAGGAGCUUAGGAGGUAGGGAGAGGGGCGGCUAGUCGGGCGAGCGGCCCGGAGGAGGCGGCGUUGGAGCGGCGUCCGUUGGGGGGUGCCGAAGGGAGGCCGGUGGGUGGUAGUGUGGGGGCGCAGAGGUAGGUCAUGCGCGGGCCCGUUGCCGAGAAGGGUCGCCGCGUUGGCCGUGGCCGUGGCGGCUAGAGCCCAAAGCAGUUGUAACUAUUGACUAUUCAUAUUACAUCUCUUCAUAACCUCCUCAGUACGGUAGAUCGCUGUUCGUUAAUCGUAAGAGCCACUUUUGUCGUCGUAGCGCACUCGACGAUUUGUUUCCAUGUUUGUAGUAUUUAUACAGAGUUCCGUGAAGAGACGGCGGUUUCCUAUUUCCACGACGACUUCUUGGAAAUUUCCGACACCCGUGUUUUGCCGACGUAUGACUACGAGGAAGUUCGGGACAAAUAGUAUUACAAAUACACGCCGCUUUCCACCUUUGACUUGUAUUAUUUCACUUGAGCAGAGACCUCUACUUCCAAUAACCGUUCCUGUUUUGUUUCGUCGUCCUCCUUGUCGCUUUACACCUUUGACUUGUAUCGUUUCACUCAACGAGAGUUCUCAACUUCCCAUCAGCUUCACUCUAUUGUUUUCUCGUCCCCUAUGUCUCUUACCUUUGCCUUGUAUCAUUUCACUUGGGAAGAGUCCUCAACUUCCCAUCACCUUCGCUCUUUUGUUUCCUCGUCCUCCUUGCCUUUCACUUUUGACUUGUAUCAUUUCACUUGGGAAGAGUUCUCUACUUCCCAUCACCUUCACUCUUUUGUUUUCCCGUCCUUUAUGUCUUUUACCUUUGACUUGUAUCAUCUCACUUGGGAAGCGUUCUCAACUUCCCAUCACCUUCGUUCUUUUGUCUCCUCGUCCUCCUUGUCUUUCACUUUUGACUUGUAUCAUUUCACUCGAGAAGAUUUCUCAACUUCCCAUUACAUCCUCUUUUUUAUCUUCUCGUUCUCCUAGUCGUUGACCACGUUACACUAGUUCAGUCAUUCGGUCUUCACCGUGGAGGAUAACGACUUAGACCUUAUUUUCUCGUCCUACUUGUCGUUUGCCACGUUCACUUAUUCGGUCUUCACCGUGGAGGAUAACGACUUAGACCUUAUUUUCUCGUCCUACUUGUCGUUUGCCACGUUCACUUAUUCAGUCUUCACCGUGGAGAAUAAAGACUUAGACCUUAUUUUCUCGUCCUACUUGUCUUCUGCCANNNNNNNNNNNNNNNNNNNCACCGUGGAGGAUAAAGACUUAGACCUUAAUUUCUCGUCCUACUUGUCCUUUGCCACGUUGUACUAGUCCACUUAUUCGGUCUUAACCGUGGAGGAUAACGACUUAGACCCUGUUUUCCCGACCUACUCGUCGUUUGCCACGUUGUACUAGUCCAGUUCUUCAGUCUUUACCGUGUAUAAGGACUUGGACCUUAUUUUCCAGUCCUACUUGUCGUUUACCACGUUGUACUAGUCCAGCUAUUCGGUCUUUACCGUGGAGGAUAACGACUUUGGCCUUAUUUUCUCGUCCUCCUUGUCGUUUGACAUGUUGUACCAGUCUAGUUAUUCGGUCUUCACCGUGGAGGAUAGAGACUUGGAACGUAUCUUCUCGUCCUCUUUGCCGUUUACCAUGUUGGUCUAGUUCAGUUAUUCGGUCUUCACCGUGGAGGACAACGACUUGGAUCCUAUUGUCUCGUCCUCCUUGACGUUUACCAUGUUGUACUAGUCCAGUUAUUCGGUCUUCACCGUGGAGGACAACGACUUGGAUACUAUUGUCUUGUCCUCCUUGGCGUUUACCAUGUUGUACUAGUCCAGUUAUUCGGUCUUCACCGUGGAUGAUAACGACUUAGACGUCCAGAUCAGAGUAGACUUUACUGACUUAGACCUCCCGAUCUCGGUAGAUUUAGAGGGCUUCUUUGUGUACGUCUUUGACAUGGUUUCUAUUUACUCGACGGCUAACGAAGACGAUUGCUCGGUGGAUAGCGAGGAUCAUGGUGGCAAGUUCCACUAUAGGCAUCUAGUCCGUUGGUUUUAGGAAUGACCUCACUCUCUAUACUAGCUAAUGUCUGUAUAAACCUCUUGACACUAGCCAGUGGGGUCCUCCCAAUAUACGCUUACGAAUCCAGUGAGAGUCGUCGGCCAGCUUCGUACGUACGCUAACUCGACCUCUUUUCCCGUUAUGUGGAGGAUCACCUCCUUCCAUUUCUCGACGUUGCCUACUUCCGAAACUUACAAAACCCCUUUCAAAGAGGUUUGCCAGGAAGCUUCGUCCUAGGGAACGUCGCCAGCACGGUCUUCACUCUACCAACUUCUAUAGAGACAUCUCGGUUUUUAUAUACGUAGUACAUAUGUAACGUCUUUCCUGUACAAGACGAAUCUUGAAAAGAAAAGCAAAAAAAAAAGGAAAAGGAAAGCAAAAAUGGAUAUGAGCCACGACACGGCACCCAUACAACAAUAUACCACAUUAAUUUUCUCGUUGAACAAACCUAUUUGGACAGUCCGAAUUACCGGUUCGGAUCAUUGACAAAUAUGGGUACGCACGGUAGACUAAAUAAAAAGGAGAAAC
This 2656-nucleotide ribosomal RNA is filed under the name Triticum aestivum (bread wheat). Its description in RNAcentral is "partial small subunit ribosomal RNA". Lineage: Eukaryota; Viridiplantae; Streptophyta; Magnoliopsida; Poales; Poaceae. The record is from RNAcentral.